UCACUUUAUCGACUUCUUUAUAGUUAAUUUGUCUUAUUUUCUAUUCAUCAAGUAAACCCCUCAAAGUUCCUUAUCGUUUUGCACUCUGUUUACCUAGCUUUAAGCGCUCCAGCCUGCUCCACCAGCACAAUGCAAAUAGGUUUCCUAUCAUCAUGCCCUAUCGAUCGUACAGUUACCAACCAUACCUUCUGCGGUAUCAAUAUUUAAACAUUCCACACCGGUUUCCUAGUCUAUAUUCAAAUCAUCCGCCGUUCAGUUUGCAUAUCCCCGUUCAGGAGCAACGAACUCAUCUGCCAUUCUUUACAUCUUUGCUUUCUGCAUAUGUCCUCAUCAUAUGCGAUUGCAUCGCACCCGUACGGGAUGAGGUUGGGAUGAAAAUCAUUACUGCUCUACCUUCUUUUACUCUUCUAUUUCUAGCACAAGGGUUUAUUUAAACAGUAUCUUGUAGCUCUUCUUAUCAAUCUCUCAUGCUGUGCCUGGAAUCAGAUAACAGUUAACUAACAAACAGAGCGCACCCUCUGCAAAAAUGGAAACUUCUUUCCCAGUGACACCAAACACACAUUGGGAAGACCUUUUUGACUGAUUGUCACACAUUCUAGAACAAAAAAAGUAUACAAAAAAGAAAAAUUCCUUCGAGAGGCAUCAAAAACUCACCCACCUUUUCUGAAAUCCUUCGCAACCCAACAACGCAAUAUUAAAUAUUCAUGUGCACGCAUCGCUACCCAAUCGGGUACGGGAUCAAUCGAAUAAUUUCGUGCUCGGCGGGAACACACAGCAAAAAGAGGCGGGAAGCAGAAUGAGCUUACUACAAUAUCAAAUCCCAAUGCCUGACUGUUGAUGUUGUGUCGGAUCGGUUUCACCGUGUGCUGGGGAGCGUCACCAUCAUCAUCAUUAUCAUUGCCUGCGAAGCUGUGGAACGAUAUUUAUUUUAUGAAGGUAGAAUUACACCGAUGAAGCAUUAAAUCCCAGCUCCAGACACCGAGCAGGAACUCAGAACGACGGAAUGCUGUAACGCGGGAUGAAAGCGUGAGCUAAUUUUCUCGAUUGAUAUGUGACGUUAUUAUCGUGUGCUAAAGUGGUGUUUGGUGUCUUACCGUUUCAUGUUUGCGUUGACCACUUUAGUCAAUGAAAUGGUAAUGGUUUGGUGGGAAGGUUCGAAAAAUGGGAUAAAAAUGCUUUUCUUUCAUUAUUCAUGAACUGUGGAUAUGGAUAUUAUAAGGCUGGGUUUUGCUGUCUAAAUGGUGCAACUCGAGAGCUACGUGUUCCCACUACAUAAAACUUAUUCUGAAGCAAACUAAAGGUUUUAACCUGUACCUUUGGAAAACAGCGGCAAGCUACGAACCUACAUUCAACACGUUAUACCAAAAACAUAGCAUUAUUCUAUCAUCUCACAUCUGCAACCCAUCACGAAGAAGAAAUUUUUUACAUUUUCAAACAUUUUCAGUUCACAAAACCCACAAAACAUAAACACUUCACGCCUCCCAACGCAGAGCUGGAUUGUUCACAGAGCAACUGGGCUCAGAUUUCAUGGUCCAAAAGGCCCACACAGAAACUUCCACUUCAUAUUUGUUACUCGAUUCCCAAACAAUUACGAACGUACGGUAGAAGAAGAACAAAAAUGCCCACACCACGAGUUGGCUGAUUCCACAGAGAAUGGGUAAAAAACCCAAGCGAUCCCUGAGACAACACAUAUUUUCCAAGUGCAACCAGUUGUCCUUGAGCAAAUGGCUGUUUCGAGCUGUUAAAAUUCCCACUUAUUUUUAUUAUAAACAGAUGGAUGGAUGUAUGUAGUUUAAAAAAACCCUUAAACAGAUUCAUUUAAGUUAUUACUUCGUCUUUACUUUGUUUGUUGUUGCCACAAGGAUAGUUUGUUUGUGAGAUAUGCUAUUUACUUAUAUUUAAGUAAAACCAUGGAACAAAAAAUCAGUCAACUGAACGAAAAACGUUUAAAAUAAUUAUGAUUUUCUUUAAUGAACCAACAUUAUUUUGAUUUGUUAGUGAAUUACUACUGAACGGGUUAAAUCAAAUACCAAAGAAACGGUAUUAUCCGAAAACUACUUCAAAAAGGCAUAACAGAAUGACCCGAUCGUCACCACACACGAUCAAAACCACAGGCUACAUACCACCAACGAAGCGACCUUCAACGACCAAGGAAGCUGACGCAGCAAUUUCGAUCGCUCAACUUGCCCGAGUCCCAGCACCGAUCGCCCUCGCCUUAUGAACCCGGCUUGCUGAAAGUAAGUUCAUUAGAUUCUAUUCUACCGUUGUUGCUGUAAGACGUAUCGUUGAGUUCUUGCGUGGAAACAGCAGUGGAUUAUUGGCAGCGUUAGCCAGACGACAGUAACAAACUAGAUCGCUUGAACAGCUCUGCUCUCUGAAAACCCCUGCAGUGAAAGUGAUAGCAACCACCACAACUGACAGAAACGAGCGUGCCAUUCGGCAGGAAAGUAAAAACAACAACUAGACUGCGGCGCAGUGAAAUCAGCGGACUUAAUUGCAUUAAAAUCAAUUCUUUUUUGUGUCACCUGAAAGUGCGAUCGCAAAUCACAAAAAAAUGAGUAACAUCUCGCGUGGUAGAGGCGGAAACUCUCGUUGCUACUCGUAUUAUGAAACGAGAUUGAUCCACGUUUCCCGCCACUAUCACGAAAUGGAUGAUGAUGAUUGCUGUGAUAUCUACAAUCACAGCAACGCACCAAGAUACAGCGUUAGAGAAAACAGCUCCUAUAACUACACAAGCAACAUUAGGCAGCAGCUGCCGCCCAUUCAAAGAGCAGCCAUCCAGCCAAAAGCUGCCGCUGCUUUGUCACCAAUUGCCGUAUCAUCGAGCCAACAGCUUCAGUGGCCAUUUUCCAAAGAAAGUAUCAUAAAGGUGCCAGUGGGGAUUAAAAAAAGUGCUCCUCGUUCAUUUUUGGUGGGCACAGGAUCAGACAUUUCGUACAUUAAAGCAGAUAAACUAACUAUGCCGUUUCAAGUUAACCACAGGGAAACAUUAACUAUAUACCGUUAUCUAUCCGCGGCGGUAGAGUCGUUGGGCACUGCCACAGUUGAUCUACGUUUCGGCAAAAAGAGAAUCAAGCACCUGUUUCACAUUAUACCAGAUUACGCCGGGCUGCACGUCGAUGGGGUUCUGGGGUGUGAUUUUGUGCACGUACAUGUAGGCAGCAUUGAUUUUGGUAGCCAUAUUAUCACCAUAAGGGCAGGGAACUAAGAUUAUACUUAUUGGAGUAAGAGUUUGCGUGAAAAAAUAUACUCAUGAUUACUUUUCAAAUGAA
This is a long non-coding RNA of Anopheles gambiae (African malaria mosquito), 3272 nucleotides long. RefSeq lists it as uncharacterized. NCBI's taxonomy places the organism in Eukaryota, Metazoa, Arthropoda, Insecta, Diptera, Culicidae. The transcript has 2 exons. The record is from RefSeq and is a predicted model, not a curated record.